This 119-nucleotide ribosomal RNA is filed under the name Pteropus alecto (black flying fox). Lineage: Eukaryota; Metazoa; Chordata; Mammalia; Chiroptera; Pteropodidae. The record is from RNAcentral.
GUCUACGGCCAUGCUACCCUGAACAAGCCCGAUCCCGUCUGAUCUUGGAAGCUAAGCAGGAUCUGGCCUGGUUAGUACUUGGAUGGAAGAUCACCUAGGAAGACCAGGUGCUGUAGGCA